AUUGAACGCUGGCGGCAGGCCUAACACAUGCAAGUCGAGCGGAUGAAGGCAGCUUGCUCCUGGUUUCAGCGGCGGACGGGUGAGUAAUGCCUAUGAAUCUCCCUGGUAUUGGGGUAUAACGUCCUGAAACGGGCGCUAAUACCGCAUACUUCCUGCUGGUGAAAGAUGGGGAUCUUCGGACCUCACGCGAUCAGAUGAGCCUAGGUCGGAUUAGCUAGCUGGUUGGGUAAAGGGCUACUAAGGCGGCCAUCCGUAACUGGUCUGAGAGGAUGAUCAGUCACACUGGAACUGAGACACGGUCCAGAGUACUAAGGGAGGCAGCAGUGGGGAAUAUUGGACAAUGGGCGAAAGCAUGAUCCAGCCAUGCCGAGUGUGUGAAGAAGGUCUUCGGAUUGUAAAGCACUUUAAGUUGGGAGAAACGGCAGUAACUUAAUACCUUGCUGUUUUGACGUUACCAACAGAAUAAGCACCGGCUAACUACGUG
RNAcentral lists this ribosomal RNA (484 nucleotides) under uncultured bacterium. RNAcentral's name for it is "partial 16S ribosomal RNA". It matches the Rfam family "Bacterial small subunit ribosomal RNA", at positions 30 to 507 of the family's 1533-position model. The record is from RNAcentral.